RNAcentral lists this ribosomal RNA (301 nucleotides) under uncultured bacterium. Its description in RNAcentral is "partial 16S ribosomal RNA". It matches the Rfam family "Bacterial small subunit ribosomal RNA", at positions 509 to 807 of the family's 1533-position model. The record is from RNAcentral.
CAGUCGCCACGGGAAUACGUAGGGUGCGAGCGUUAAUCGGAAUUACUGGGCGUAGAGCGUGCGCAGGCGGUUGUGUAAGACAGGUGUGAAAUCCCCGGGCUUAACCUGGGAACUGCGCUUGUGACUGCACAGCUAGAGUAUGGCAGAGGGGGGUAGAAUUCCACGUGUAGCAGUGAAAUGCGUAGAUAUGUGGAGGAAUACCGAUGGCGAAGGCAGCCCCCUGGGAUAACACUGACGCUCAUGCACGAAAGCGUGGGGAGCAAACAGGAUUAGAUACCCCCGUAGUCCCUGUCUCUUAUAC